RNAcentral lists this ribosomal RNA (466 nucleotides) under uncultured bacterium. RNAcentral describes it as "partial 16S ribosomal RNA". It matches the Rfam family "Bacterial small subunit ribosomal RNA", at positions 28 to 507 of the family's 1533-position model. The record is from RNAcentral.
GACGAACGCUGGCGGCGCGCCUAACACAUGCAAGUCGAACGAGCGAGAGAGAGCUUGCUUUCUCAAGCGAGUGGCGAACGGGUGAGUAACGCGUGAGGAACCUGCCUCAAAGAGGGGGACAACAGUUGGAAACGACUGCUAAUACCGCAUAAGCCCACGACCCGGCAUCGGGUAGAGGGAAAAGGAGCAAUCCGCUUUGAGAUGGCCUCGCGUCCGAUUAGCUAGUUGGUGAGGUAACGGCCCACCAAGGCGACGAUCGGUAGCCGGACUGAGAGGUUGAACGGCCACAUUGGGACUGAGACACGGCCCAGACUCCUACGGGAGGGAGCAGUGGGGAAUAUUGCACAAUGGGGGAAACCCUGAUGCAGCGACGCCGCGUGGAGGAAGAAGGUCUUCGGAUUGUAAACUCCUGUUGUUGAGGAAGAUAAUGACGGUACUCAACAAGGAAGUGACGGCUAACUACGUG